Molecule: transfer RNA, 77 nt
Filed under: Actinomyces sp. HMSC062G12
Lineage: Bacteria; Bacillati; Actinomycetota; Actinomycetes; Actinomycetales; Actinomycetaceae
Description: tRNA-Met
Rfam family: tRNA
About the family: Transfer RNA (tRNA) molecules are approximately 80 nucleotides in length. Their secondary structure includes four short double-helical elements and three loops (D, anti-codon, and T loops). Further hydrogen bonds mediate the characteristic L-shaped molecular structure. tRNAs have two regions of fundamental functional importance: the anti-codon, which is responsible for specific mRNA codon recognition, and the 3' end, to which the tRNAs corresponding amino acid is attached (by aminoacyl-tRNA synthetases). tRNAs cope with the degeneracy of the genetic code in two manners: having more than one tRNA (with a specific anti-codon) for a particular amino acid; and 'wobble' base-pairing, i.e. permitting non-standard base-pairing at the 3rd anti-codon position.
Source: RNAcentral
GCCCCAAUAGCUCAGUCGGUCAGAGCAGCGGACUCAUAAUCCGUAGGUCGUCGGUUCAAGCCCGACUUGGGGCACCA